UCGGCAAAAAAGGGGGAUGGAGAGCGAGGAAAAGGAGAAGAAAUGGAGAAAGAGGUAAAGGAGAAGAUAUGAAGAAGAGUAGAAAUUGGGAGUGGAAAGGAGAAGGGGAAAGAUGUAGAUGGGAGAAAGGAAUAGAUGGAGAGGGAGUAGGGAAAAAGGGGAGCAAGAACGAAAGCUGAACGGGUGGAUAUAAAAUAAGAGAUAGGGGGAGAGGGUAUUAGCUGGAGGCCGAGAACGGAAGUGAUGCAGAUCGAGAGAGAUAUUGAUAGAAGGAGGGAGUAAGAGAGAGAGAAAAAAAUGGCGAAGGAGGAAGAGAGGGAAAAAAAUAAAGAUAUUAAUCCAUCUAAUAAAUCUUUACUGUGGUUCCAGCGAAGACCGAAAAAGGGACGAGGACUGAGCAACACAAAACAACAGACGUGGUUGGUCUUUUCGCACUCUUCUGGACAAUAGCGGCAACUCCUCUCCUCUUAAUGCAUGCUAGGGCUUCAGGUCACGAGGAAUGGACAGCCUGCCUUACCAUUCCAUCACACUUUCUGCUCUUGUUCGCCAUCUUCCUGCUCCUCAAUGGCGAUGACCCGAUUUACGCAGAGGUCAUGAAGGAGAAAGGUCAGGAAGAGGAAGAAGAGGACGACGUCACGCCCCUUUGGCUUCUGGACGAAGAACGAGAGGAAGUGGAAUGAGAGGAAGGGGGGAGAGAUAAUGAGGAAGCGAGCGACGAGCACCCAUUGUGGUUUAAUAAACAGGAAAUCUUUUUAUAGAAUGUGUUGUGAGGGCAUAUGUGUACUUUGUGAUCUGAAAAUUGCAUUGCGUGAAUUAUAUUUACUUUUAUAUAUGACGAAUUUGAAUCUGGCGAUCCUGUUUCCAUUAAACGAGUCUGCAGAUUUUAUAACCAAUACAUGCCCAACAUAAUGUAGACAGUUGUUGUGUAACUGGAAACGGGAAACCACCUUGAUUGAUCUUUCCCUUGUAUUUCUAUGGCAGACAUCUCAGGAAAGAAUAUAAUAAAAAAAUAAAAUAAAGUGGGUCAAACUGCUCUUCUGA
Long non-coding RNA from Penaeus indicus, 1041 nucleotides. RefSeq lists it as uncharacterized. The transcript is spliced from 2 exons. The record is from RefSeq and is a predicted model, not a curated record. NCBI's taxonomy places the organism in Eukaryota, Metazoa, Arthropoda, Malacostraca, Decapoda, Penaeidae.